ACACUUUCACGUUCAACAUAAAAAAUAAUCCUGAAAAAUCUGCCUUUGCCUGUUUCAUGUUCUAUUAAUGUCCAAUCAAAACAGAUCACAACAGACUAGUACAGCCACUACAACUGCUAAAACCUAAAGUAGGAAUUGACUACCUGUGCUUUUGCACAGGAAAUAAUUUGGAAAUAAUUUUUAAAGUUUAUAUUUUAAGCUUUAAUCCAUAUAAAUGUUGUAUGAAAUCUUGACCCUGCUUGGGAAUUUGCAUUCAUAAA
Molecule: long non-coding RNA, 260 nt
Filed under: Bos taurus (domestic cattle)
Lineage: Eukaryota; Metazoa; Chordata; Mammalia; Artiodactyla; Bovidae
Description: long non-coding RNA NONBTAT015804
Source: RNAcentral